This 423-nucleotide ribosomal RNA is filed under the name uncultured bacterium. Its description in RNAcentral is "bacterial SSU rRNA". It matches the Rfam family "Bacterial small subunit ribosomal RNA", at positions 358 to 773 of the family's 1533-position model. The record is from RNAcentral.
GGAAUUUUGGACAAUGGGGGCAACCCUGAUCCAGCCAUGCCGCGUGAGUGAAGAAGGCCUUCGGGUUGUAAAGCUCUUUCGGCCGGAACGAAAUCGUGCGAGUGAACAACCCGCGUGGAUGACGGUACCGGAAGACGAAGCCCCGGCUAAACACGGGCCAGCAGCCGCGGUAAUACGUAGUGUGCAAGCGUUAAUCGGAAGUACUGGGCGUAAAGCGUGCGCAGGCUGUCGCGUAAGCCAGAUGUGAAAUCCCCGGGCUUAACCUGGGAACUGCAUUUGGUACUGCGUGGCUGGAGUGCGGCAGAGGAAGGUGGAAUUCCUGGUGUAGCAGUGAAAUGCGUAGAGAUCAGGAGGAACACCGAUGGCGAAGGCAGCCUUCUGGGCCAGCACUGACGCUCAUGCACGAAAGCGUGGGGAGCAAAC